Molecule: ribosomal RNA, 439 nt
Filed under: uncultured Sphingomonadaceae bacterium
Lineage: Bacteria; Pseudomonadati; Pseudomonadota; Alphaproteobacteria; Sphingomonadales; Sphingomonadaceae
Description: partial 16S ribosomal RNA
Rfam family: Bacterial small subunit ribosomal RNA
Source: RNAcentral
CCUACGGGAGGCAGCAGUGGGGAAUAUUGGACAAUGGGCGAAAGCCUGAUCCAGCAAUGCCGCGUGAGUGAUGAAGGCCUUAGGGUUGUAAAGCUCUUUUACCCGGGAUGAUAAUGACAGUACCGGGAGAAUAAGCUCCGGCUAACUCUGUGCCAGCAGCCGCGGUAAUACGGAGGGAGCUAGCGUUAUUCGGAAUUACUGGGCGUAAAGCGCACGUAGGCGGCUUUGUAAGUUAGAGGUGAAAGCCUGGAGCUAAACUCCAGAAUUGCCUUUAAGACGGCACCGCUUGAAUCCAGGAGAGGGGAGUGAAAUUCCGAGGGUAGAGGUGAAAUUCGUAGAUAUUCGGAAGAACACCAGUGGCGAGGGCGGCUCACUGGACUGGUAUUGACGCUGAGGUGCGAAAGCGUGGGGAGCAAACAGGAUUAGAUACCCCGGUAGU